GAUGAACGCUAGCUACAGGCUUAACACAUGCAAGUCGAGGGCAUCAGUUGGUUUGCUUGCAAACCAAAGCUGGCGACCGGCGCACGGGUGAGUAACACGUAUCCAACCUGCCUCAUACUCGGGGAUAGCCUUUCGAAAGAAGAUUAAUAUCCGAUAGCAUAUAUUUCCCGCAUGGGUUUUAUAUUAAAGAAAUUCGGUAUGAGAUGGGGAUGCGUUCCAUUAGUUUGUUGGGGGGGUAACGGCCCACCAAGACUACGAUGGAUAGGGGUUCUGAGAGGAAGGUCCCCCCACAUUGGAACUGAGACACGGUCCAAAACUCCUACGGGAGGGCAGCAGUUGAGGGAAUAUUUCGGGUCAAAUGGACGCGAGUCUGAACCAGCCAAGUAGCGUGAAGGAUGACUGCCCUAUGGGUGUAAACUUCUUUUAUAUGGGAAUAAACGUGGUCCACGUGUGGAUUUUUUGUAUCGUACCAUAUGAAUAAAGGAUCCGGNUAACUCCGUG
Molecule: ribosomal RNA, 501 nt
Filed under: uncultured bacterium
Lineage: Bacteria
Description: bacterial SSU rRNA
Rfam family: Bacterial small subunit ribosomal RNA
Source: RNAcentral